AGAAGGGGAAAAAAGUAGUCAUCUUCUGGGGAACCAACCUGCCAGUAUGAGAAAACAGAUGAGGUACAGAGAGAUUAAAUGACAACCAGCUUUAUACAGCAAGCAAAGGAGGCUUCAGUCUGACAUGCCUUGGCCUGAGUGGUGAUAUUCAUAGAGUUAUCCAGGAGCUGAUUCUCUUCAAGGGUCCUCUUCUUCCCUCAAUCCCCAACCCCCAACUCCAAAGACUGGCAGGGACAGCUGUAGACCCUGAGAAAAGGAAAGUAGAUCCCAGAUCAGAGCCUGUCUCCUUAACCCCUGAGCCGCCAGUCAUUCCCAAUCAGCCUCCCCAAUCCCCAGCUUUACACCAGUUAAGGGAAACUGGCGCCAGGAAAGACCUGGCACAUUGCCACAUGAAGCUGGGCACAGGAGACAGAAGCUUGCUGCAACUUGCCCUUUGGCUUGGCAUUUCCUUUUAGAGAGGACCUGCUUCUUUCUUACUCUUUCCUACUCCUUAACUUCACUGCUGAUCAGGUUAAAGAAAAAAAAAAAAGGAGGGGGGGGCAGGCUAUUAGCUUAGGAUAAUUUACAAUAUAGUUCUCUUCAUGUCGCAGCAUAAUAACAGUGUUCCUAACUCUAACUUCCCUUUCUUGUGGUCCCUUGCUGAAGUCCUGUAUUGGCUCCAUUCAGAAAAAUAGUCUGGACUUUGUUAAUCUGUGUGGAGUCUCCAAAACCACCCAGGAUCCCAGCAAACAGAGGGUUAAUAAUAGCUAGCAUUUAUAUAGUACUAUAAGGUUUUCAGAGCUCUGUAGAUACAUUAUCUUAUUAGAUCCUCACAACUCUGGGAAAUAGAAGUUAUUAUUAUUCCCAUUUUAUAGAUGGGGAAACUGAGAUAGAUACUUACUAGUUAUGUGAUAUUGGGAAACUAAGGCAUGAUUUAAACCAAGAUCUUCCUGACUGUAAUUCUAGCACUGUACUCUUAUGGACUACAUCACCUUGUUUUUCAGUAUUUGUUGAUGGUCACUUGUACUUUCUAACAUUACCCUAGAGAUUGGAUAGGGAUGGACGAGAGUGGGACUCCAUAGUAUAUUUGAUUGAAAUUGCUCUCUUUCAUCUCUCAGAGACGCACUCUCUUACCAAGUUUUAGCAUUAUCUGUGCUUGGUCAGCAAAGACUUCUUUGUUGUUCAAGGAAGGGGUCAAAAUUCUUGCCACAAACCAUGUGAAGUUAGUUAAAUUAUAUAUCUGUCCAUUAGCCAUUCAACCAGGCAGCAUGUCAUAAUGGUAAGAGCCUUGUAGUCAGAAGAACUCUUAUCUUUUCUCUGAUGUUUAUUUCUCAGUUUUUUCAUCUGUAAAGUGGGGAUGAUAACAGUUGUAUUUUUAAUGUCUUUUGGCUUCCCUGGGUGGUUAUGAAAAAAGCACUUUGUAAAGCUUUAGCUACUGAGUUAUUUUUAAAUACACUUAUCAAGCACUUGAUGUUAGAAAGCUCUCAAGUGCAUUGUCUCUUCAUUUAAUCCACCUUGAUGGGAUUGAGUAAAAACAUCAGGUUUUUAGCAAAAACAUCAGCAACAACAGUUGCUCCAGACCAGAUGCUCACUCUAUUGCCUUGGUUCUUGGAGAUCAUUCUCUGCUUUCUUGAUGGGUCACAGAUGUAUGCUUCAAUUCCGGACAAAAACUUCUCUUUCUAUAGCUGCUUAAAUCUGGUCUUUUCCUUUCUUCUUUCCUACUUUCCUUCCUUCCUUCCUUUCUUUCCCUCAUUUCUUCCCUCCCUCCUUCCUUCCCUCUCUCUCUUUCCUUCCUUCUUUUCUUCUUUCCUUCC
Long non-coding RNA from Sarcophilus harrisii (Tasmanian devil), 1793 nucleotides. NCBI's taxonomy places the organism in Eukaryota, Metazoa, Chordata, Mammalia, Dasyuromorphia, Dasyuridae. The record is from Ensembl.